AAUGGACUAUCUAAUUAUGCUAAGCCUUUUAAUGAAAAAAAGUAUAACAAAAGGAGGGGUUUUGGAUUUUGGUACAUUGGUUUCGAUGAAAUCAAUCCAGAAUGUGGCGAACCGGUUUACCAUUGUGGAUGAGAACCGGAAUCUGAACCGGUUCGUAGAAUCUUGUUCGUUCUCUUCUUCUCGUAUAAACAAUUGAUGAAAACUGAAAUACAUUUUAGAAGCGGAUCGGAGUCGUUGAUCACGCUGGAGUCUAUUCGGGAACCUACGAUGAGGAUUACGUCGCUUCUGUUGGUUGCAGCGCUGAAGGAAUUUGUAGAGAAAAUCAAUUGCGGAAGAGGAAGGAGAGAAGCAGCAACGAUGAGGAUGAUGAUAAACACUAUGGGCUUUUAAUGUGUAAUGUAUGCUUUUAGGCCCAAAAUAACCCAAUAAUAGACACUAGGAUUUAUUUAUCAAAGUGUAACAUUAUGGGCUUUUAUGUGUAAUGUGUGCCGUAAUGUAUUUUUUCUUAUUUGCGAUGAGAGUACAUCAUAUUUGAAUGACAAAUUG
Arabidopsis thaliana (thale cress) is the source of this 546-nucleotide RNA transcript. RefSeq lists it as uncharacterized. NCBI's taxonomy places the organism in Eukaryota, Viridiplantae, Streptophyta, Magnoliopsida, Brassicales, Brassicaceae. The record is from RefSeq. The transcript has a single exon.